GACGGUACCUGAGGAAUAAGCAUCGGCUAACUCCGUGCCAGCAGCCGCGGUAAUACGGAGGAUGCAAGCGUUAUCCGGAAUGAUUGGGCGUAAAGCGUCCGCAGGUGGCUAUGUAAGUCUGCUGUUAAAGAGUGAGGCUCAACCUCAUAAAAGCAGUGGAAACUACAAGGCUAGAGUACGUUCGGGGCAGAGGGAAUUCCUGGUGUAGCGGUGAAAUGCGUAGAGAUCAGGAAGAACACCGGUGGCGAAAGCGCUCUGCUAGGCCGUAACUGACACUGAGGGACGAAAGCUAGGGGAGCGAAUGGGAU
Molecule: ribosomal RNA, 308 nt
Filed under: Calothrix sp. PCC 7507
Lineage: Bacteria; Bacillati; Cyanobacteriota; Cyanophyceae; Nostocales; Calotrichaceae
Description: bacterial SSU rRNA
Rfam family: Bacterial small subunit ribosomal RNA
Source: RNAcentral